UGUGGGAGCGAGCCUGCUCGCGAUAGCGGUAUUUCAGUCAACAUGGAUGCCAACUGAACCAUCGCCAUCGCGAGCAGGCUCGCUCCCACA
RNAcentral lists this unclassified non-coding RNA (90 nucleotides) under Pseudomonas sp. A214. Lineage: Bacteria; Pseudomonadati; Pseudomonadota; Gammaproteobacteria; Pseudomonadales; Pseudomonadaceae. The record is from RNAcentral.